Molecule: long non-coding RNA, 445 nt
Filed under: Marmota monax (woodchuck)
Lineage: Eukaryota; Metazoa; Chordata; Mammalia; Rodentia; Sciuridae
Source: RNAcentral
ACAAGUGAAGUUAAAUUUUUGAAAACAAUGUAAAUAAGCAGUUUGAGGAAGAACAAGUUUGUUUUUUCCAAAGAUCUUGAUGAAAGACCUGGUGUUAUUUUGAAAUCAUUUGGAAAAUAUUGACUGCUUUUUUUCCUUCUCUACCCAAGGCCUUUAGUUGAGCAUUCAAAGUAGAGUAGCAAAUUAAAAAGUGAUUCUCUUGCAAAUUAACUCUGCUUUAUGUUUUCAAUUCCUGUUUAUCAAUUCUUUCCAUGUUUUAGAACUUAUACAUCAAAGUAAACUGGGGGUAUUUUGUUAAACUAGAACUUUGAAAAGAAAUAUGGAUUUUAGGUUAUUUUUAUAGGCAAUCACCAACCUGAAGGAACUCUCUCCUCCAGCACAACCUAAACUCUUGGAAAUUCAUAUGGAAUUCAGUAAUUUCCACUAUGUGCUUUUUUCCUUAUUA